Molecule: ribosomal RNA, 491 nt
Filed under: uncultured bacterium
Lineage: Bacteria
Description: partial 16S ribosomal RNA
Rfam family: Bacterial small subunit ribosomal RNA
Source: RNAcentral
GAUGAACGCUGGCUACAGGCUUAACACAUGCCAGUCGAGGGGAAACGACGGGGAAGCUUGCUUCCCCGGGCGUCGACCGGCGCACGGGUGAGUAACGCGUAUCCAACCUGCCUCUGACUGAGGGAUAACCCGUCGAAAGUCGGCCUAAUACCUCAUGGUAUCGUCUGCGGGCAUCCAACGACGAUUAAAGAUUUCAUCGGUCAGGGAUGGGGAUGCGUCUGAUUAGCUUGUUGGCGGGGUAACGGCCCACCAAGGCUACGAUCAGUAGGGGUUCUGAGAGGAAGGUCCCCCACAUUGGAACUGAGACACGGUCCAAACUCCUACGGGAGGCAGCAGUGAGGAAUAUUGGUCAAUGGGCGAGAGCCUGAACCAGCCAAGUAGCGUGCAGGAAGACGGCCCUAUGGGUUGUAAACUGCUUUUAUGCGGGGAUAAAGUGAGGGACGUGUCCCUAAUUGCAGGUACCGCAUGAAUAAGGACCGGCUAAUUCCGUG